Molecule: ribosomal RNA, 253 nt
Filed under: uncultured bacterium
Lineage: Bacteria
Description: partial 16S ribosomal RNA
Rfam family: Bacterial small subunit ribosomal RNA
Source: RNAcentral
UACAGAGGUCUCAAGCGUUGUUCGGAUUCAUUGGGCGUAAAGGGUGCGUAGGUGGCGUGGUAAGUCGGGUGUGAAAUUUCGGAGCUUAACUCCGAAACUGCAUUCGAUACUGCCGUGCUUGAGGACUGGAGAGGAGACUGGAAUUUACGGUGUAGCAGUGAAAUGCGUAGAGAUCGUAAGGAAGACCAGUGGCGAAGGCGGGUCUCUGGACAGUUCCUGACACUGGGGCACGAAGGCCAGGGGAGCAAACGGG